This 253-nucleotide ribosomal RNA is filed under the name uncultured bacterium. RNAcentral's name for it is "partial 16S ribosomal RNA". It matches the Rfam family "Bacterial small subunit ribosomal RNA", at positions 524 to 776 of the family's 1533-position model. The record is from RNAcentral.
AACGUAGGUGGCGAGCGUUAUCCGGAUUUACUGGGCGUAAAGCGCACGUAGGCGGUCUUUUAAGUCGGGGGUGAAAUCCUGGAGCUCAACUCCAGAACUGCCUUCGAUACUGGAAGACUUGAGUCCGGGAGAGGUGAGUGGAACUGCGAGUGUAGAGGUGAAAUUCGUAGAUGUUCGCAAGAACACCAGUGGCGAAGGCGGCUCACUGGCCCGGUACUGACGCUGAGGUGCGAAAGCGUGGGGAGCAAACAGG